UACGGAGGGUGCAAACGUUGCUCGGAAUUAUUGGGCGUAAAGCGCACGUAGGCGGACCAUCAAGUCGGUUGUGAAAUCCCUCGGCUUAACCGAGGACGUGCAUUCGAAACUGAUGGUCUUGAGUACGAAAGAGGGUCGCGGAAUUCCCGGUGUAGAGGUGAAAUUCGUAGAUAUCGGGAGGAACACCAGUGGCGAAGGCGGCGACCUGGGUCGAUACUGACGCUGAGGUGCGAAAGCGUGGGGAGCAAACAGG
Molecule: ribosomal RNA, 253 nt
Filed under: uncultured bacterium
Lineage: Bacteria
Description: partial 16S ribosomal RNA
Rfam family: Bacterial small subunit ribosomal RNA
Source: RNAcentral